GAAGGACUAAUCCUACUUUAUAAUUUUAAUGUACUAUACAGUUUCCAAGGCAUGUUUAACACCUGUAUCUCACAUGGACUUCACAACAGCUCUACGCAGAAGGCAAGACAGCCAUUACAAUGCUGAUAUCAUUUCCUCAUUUGAAAACAUGUACUACUGAAGAAAGCCUAGAGGGAGAUUGUCCUCUGGUACAGGAUAAAGAAAGGCAAACUUACAAGGCGGCCAUUCUUGCUGUAUGCCUGACUAGAGAAAUGAAUCAAUCAUUUUCUAAGGAAGAAGAUGGUCUCACACAAGAAGAACCAGAAGAUGAUUCACAUAGAAGAUAAUUUUGGGUGUGUCAGGAUGCAGAACAAUCUCCUACACAGAAGUCCCCUGACAGCCUCAAGAGGAUCCCAGUUAGGAGACCCAUUUGGAAGAAAUAAGGAUGUCAGUAGCUGCUGCUGUAAAGUAGAGGCUCCUAUCUACCUGAAGAAAUGCAGUUUCUUAUAAAAAUAGAUGGCAAAGUGUGCAACUAUAGAAGUGAUGAGCAUUCUAUCAUAAUAGAUGAAAAAAUAAGGCACUGGCAAAAAUAAUUAUAGGGGGUAAGAUCUCCUGAAUGACAAAGUAAGAAGCUUGGUGGGCCCUCUUCUCAACAAAACAACAAUUUAAUUUGUAAAAAUUUUAUUAAAUUUUUAAAAAAUCAAACCAACAAUUAUUUAAAGUCUCUGGAAUCAGCAAGUGGAGAAACAUUCAUUAAAGAAAAUCUACUGAUCCUCAGGAAGAACAUGACUGCAGUUUUGAGCAUGGUCUUAACCACCACCAACCUCCCCAGCUCUACCAAUUUUGCAAUACAGAAGCUCUAUCCCAAAUGUUCUACAGGUGUCAAGUGAGGAUUAAGAAGAUAAAGGCCCUCUAUCUCAUAAACACUCCAGGGAUAGGAUUUCCCCCAUGGAGGGGCAGGAUGUUAGGAUUUCUCAUCUCCUGUUUCUGUUGUAGAAGUUCUAUUCCAGCCAAGUAGGCUGAAAGGAUCAGGUCUGUAGCCUCCCCCACACUGUACCCUUAUGCAUAGAACAAGAACAGAAGCUCUACUCUAAAUGUGGCAAGGUAAGAAUAAAGAGGCCCCAAAGGUCCUUCCUCA
Molecule: long non-coding RNA, 1117 nt
Filed under: Vulpes vulpes (red fox)
Lineage: Eukaryota; Metazoa; Chordata; Mammalia; Carnivora; Canidae
Description: lncRNA (ENSVVUG00000019423.1)
Source: RNAcentral